Molecule: ribosomal RNA, 464 nt
Filed under: uncultured microorganism
Description: bacterial SSU rRNA
Rfam family: Bacterial small subunit ribosomal RNA
Source: RNAcentral
GAGUUUGAUCGUGGCUCAGAGCGAACGCUGGCGGCAGGCCUAACACAUGCAAGUCGAACGAACUCUUCGGAGUUAGUGGCGGACGGGUGAGUAACACGUGGGAACGUGCCUUUUGGUUCGGAAUAACUCAGGGAAACUUGUGCUAAUACCGAAUGUGCCCUUCGGGGAAGAUUUAUCGCCAUUAGAGCGGCCCGCGUCUGAUUAGCUAGUUGGUGAGGUAAAGGCUCACCAAGGCGACGAUCAGUAGCUGGUCCGAGAGGAUGAUCAGCCACAUUGGGACUGAGACACGGCCCAAACUCCUACGGGAGGCAGCAGUGGGGAAUCUUGCGCAAUGGGCGAAAGCCUGACGCAGCCAUGCCGCGUGAAUGAUGAAGGUCUUAGGAUUGUAAAAUUCUUUCACCGGGGACGAUAAUGACGGUACCCGGAGAAGAAGCCCCGGCUAACUUCGUGCCAGCCGCCGCGGU